RNAcentral lists this ribosomal RNA (464 nucleotides) under uncultured bacterium. RNAcentral describes it as "partial 16S ribosomal RNA". It matches the Rfam family "Bacterial small subunit ribosomal RNA", at positions 338 to 795 of the family's 1533-position model. The record is from RNAcentral.
CCUACGGGGGGCUGCAGUAGGGAAUUUUCGUCAAUGGGCGCAAGCCUGAACGAGCGAUGCCGCGUGAGUGAAGAAGGCCUUCGGGUCGUAAAGCUCUGUUGCGGGGGAAAAAAGGCAGCAUCAGGAAAUGGGUGCUGACUGAUGGUGCCCCGCCAGAAAGUCACGGCUAACUACGUGCCAGCAGCCGCGGUAAUACGUAGGUGGCGAGCGUUAUCCGGAAUGAUUGGGCGUAAAGGGUGCGCAGGCGGAAGAUCAAGUCAGCGGUAAAAUUGAGAGGCUCAACCUCUUCGAGCCGUUGAAACUGGUUUUCUUGAGUGAGUGAGAAGUAUGCGGAAUGCGUGGUGUAGCGGUGAAAUGCAUAGAUAUCACGCAGAACUCCGAUUGCGAAGGCAGCAUACCGGCGCUCAACUGACGCUCAUGCACGAAAGUGUGGGUAUCGAACAGGAUUAGAUACCCGGGUAGUC